Molecule: small RNA, 142 nt
Filed under: Paenibacillus ferrarius
Lineage: Bacteria; Bacillati; Bacillota; Bacilli; Caryophanales; Paenibacillaceae
Description: c-di-AMP sequence
Rfam family: c-di-AMP riboswitch aptamer (ydaO/yuaA leader)
About the family: This family represents a conserved RNA structure found upstream of the ydaO and yuaA genes in Bacillus subtilis and related genes in other bacteria. The ydaO/yuaA element is thought to act as a genetic "off" switch for the ydaO and yuaA genes in its native state.
Source: Rfam by way of RNAcentral
AAAUAUUUCAUGCCGAAUUCCUCAUUUCUUUGGGGAAACGGGGGAACCACUACCCGGGUGAAUUGAUCUUGCAAGACAGGGAUCAUAGGGAACCUUCAACCGAACCCUCCAGCUAACCUCGUAGGCACCGGAAGGAGACAAG